Molecule: ribosomal RNA, 451 nt
Filed under: uncultured bacterium
Lineage: Bacteria
Description: bacterial SSU rRNA
Rfam family: Bacterial small subunit ribosomal RNA
Source: RNAcentral
GAGCGGUAACAGGUGUAGCAAUACAUGCUGACGAGCGGCGAACGGGUGAGUAAUGCUUCGGAAUCUGCCCAGUAGUGGGGAAUAACCAGCCGAAAGGUUGGCUAAUACCGCAUACGUCCUACGGGAGAAAGCGGGGGACCGUAAGGCCUCGCGCUAUUGGAUGAGCCGAAGUCGGAUUAGCUAGUUGGCAGGGUAACGGCCUACCAAGGCGACGAUCCGUAGCUGGUCUGAGAGGACGACCAGCCACACUGGGACUGAGACACGGCCCAGACUCCUACGGGAGGCAGCAGUGGGGAAUAUUGGACAAUGGGGGAAACCCUGAUCCAGCGACGCCGCGUGUGUGAAGAAGGCCUGCGGGUUGUAAAGCACUUUUAGUGGGGAUGAAAAGCCCAGNGGAUAACACCUCUGGGUCUUGACCUAACCCACAGAAAAAGCACCGGCUAACUCUGUG